This 1032-nucleotide ribosomal RNA is filed under the name Triticum aestivum (bread wheat). Its description in RNAcentral is "partial small subunit ribosomal RNA". The record is from RNAcentral. Lineage: Eukaryota; Viridiplantae; Streptophyta; Magnoliopsida; Poales; Poaceae.
AUGGAAGGCGAAUCAUCAGUGAUCUUGCCGCUGCCGGUGCUGGUGCACGACCUUGGAACCCGUGCCGAAGAUUCGCUGACGCAGUACAGCAUCUCAACCCGUGCAUCGAGCACGGCAGCCAGCGACGUGCUGCGAGACCACCGGUGUUUUGAGACCCCGCAGGGCUGGAUGCUCGCGCUGGACCCUGCCUCCUCACAGACGUUCCUGUUCCGGCCUCAGGACGGCGAGAGGAUCCGGCUGCCGCCUUUGGAGGAGGCGCUCCCGCUGCGCUGCAAGUGCUUGCUCUCCGACAAUCCCAUUGCGAAGCCAGGCUGCGCCGUCGUGGUCUUCGAUCUCGACGACAGCAAGAUGUGGACGUGCAACAUUGGGGCGAGCAAGUGGGAAAUCCACCGCUACCAGCUCACCAUGUUCCUCGACGGCGACGUACCCCGGGAGAAGAACAUGGCCAAGUGCCAUGGCAUGGCAGCCGUCGGCGGCAAGAUUUACUACGAGAUAACCGCCGAUGAAUUAGGGUUCAUCCGUUUUAACUGUGAUGGUAGUCCAGAACUCGACACCAUAGCUGUCGACAUGGUCGAUCUGCCGCUGAGCAUGCCGAUGGCGACAACCUACCUGGUUGAAUCCUGUGGCGAGCUCUUCCUCGUCGUCAUCUUCUUCGAUGGCGACAAUGUGCACAAGGUAGCGGAGCAUGCGGUUUACAAGAUGGACUUCUCGAGACCGGCGUGGUGCAAGGUGGACAGCAUUGGUGAUGAUAGAGCGUUCCUUCUUGGUGGAGAUAGGAUUGGGAUCUCCAAUUUCGGGGCGUCGUGCUCGACUGCUCAUCACGAUGGUGGUGGUCUGCGAGGCAACUGCAUGUAUUUUCUGAAUCACAUGGCCAUCACUGAGAACUUUCUGCAUGUCAUCGACGUGGGCAACGGGACUGAACAGGUGCAACGGCCUUUCAGGCACAAGGGUUAUAUGAUGCCAGUUCGACCGCCGUUCUGGUUGGUACCUACGGAAUGUACCCCAGGAAAUAGACAACAUAUACAAAAUUGA